GAGUUUGAUCCUGGCUCAGAUUGAACGCUGGCGGCAGGCUUAACACAUGCAAGUCGAACGGUAACAAGAGUGCUUGCACUUGAUGACGAGUGGCGGACGGGUGAGUAAUGUAUGGGGAUCUGCCGAAUGGAGGGGGACAACAGUUGGAAACGACUGCUAAUACCGCAUAAUGUUGAGAAACCAAAGCAUGGGACCUUCGGGCCAUGCGCCAUUUGAUGAACCCAUAUGGGAUUAGCUAGUUGGUAGGGUAAAGGCUUACCAAGGCGACGAUCUCUAGCUGGUCUGAGAGGAUGACCAGCCACACUGGAACUGAGACACGGUCCAGACUCCUACGGGAGGCAGCAGUGGGGAAUAUUGCACAAUGGGGGGAACCCUGAUGCAGCCAUGCCGCGUGUAUGAAGAAGGCCUUCGGGUUGUAAAGUACUUUCGGUGAUGAGGAAGGUGACGUAUCUNAUAGGUAUGUUAAUUGACGUUAAUUACAGAAGAAGCACCGGCUAACUCCGUGCCAGCAGCCGCGGUAAUACGGAGGGUGCGAGCGUUAAUCGGAAUGACUGGGCGUAAAGGGCAUGUAGGCGGAUAAUUAAGUUAGGUGUGAAAGCCCUGGGCUCAACCUAGGAAUUGCACUUAAAGCUGGUUAACUAGAGUAUUGUAGAGGAAGGUAGAAUUCCACGUGUAGCGGUGAAAUGCGUAGAGAUGUGGAGGAAUACCGGUGGCGAAGGCGGCCUUCUGGACAGAUACUGACGCUGAGAUGCGAAAGCGUGGGGAGCAAACAGGAUUAGAUACCCUGGUAGUCCACGCUGUAAACGAUGUCGAUUUGGAGUUUGUUGCCUUGAGUGAUGGGCUCCGAAGCUAACGCGAUAAAUCGACCGCCUGGGGAGUACGGCCGCAAGGUUAAAACUCAAAUGAAUUGACGGGGGCCCGCACAAGCGGUGGAGCAUGUGGUUUAAUUCGAUGCAACGCGAAGAACCUUACCUGGUCUUGACAUCCACAGAAUCUUGCAGAGAUGCGGGAGAGCCUUCGGGAACUGUGAGACAGGUGCUGCAUGGCUGUCGUCAGCUCGUGUUGUGAAAUGUUGGGUUAAGUCCCGCAACGAGCGCAACCCUUAUCCUUUGUUGCCAUCGGUUUGGCCGGGAACUCAAAGGAGACUGCCGUUGAUAAAGCGGAGGAAGGUGGGGACGACGUCAAGUCAUCAUGGCCCUUACGACCAGGGCUACACACGUGCUACAAUGGCGUAUACAAAGGGAGGCGA
This 1249-nucleotide ribosomal RNA is filed under the name uncultured Gammaproteobacteria bacterium. RNAcentral describes it as "bacterial SSU rRNA". It matches the Rfam family "Bacterial small subunit ribosomal RNA", at positions 9 to 1252 of the family's 1533-position model. The record is from RNAcentral. Lineage: Bacteria; Pseudomonadati; Pseudomonadota; Gammaproteobacteria.